UUAAAAUUAACUAAAAUUCUAAAUAAUUUUCACCACUCUCCAUAAAUCCCCCCAAAAAAAUAUUCAAACACACCAAUAAUUAAAUAAAACUAAUAAAUUAUAUAAAUUCACCAAUACAAAAAUAAACAAAUUAAAGCAAAUUAAAAAUUCAAUUAAAUAAUUAAUUGAAAAAUUUCGGGGCGUUACAACUCUCGUCCACUUAAAUAAUUUUUGCUCUCGAUAAUUAGUUGAACAAAAAAGCUCUGGAUAAGACUCCCUCAUCC
RNAcentral lists this long non-coding RNA (263 nucleotides) under Lathyrus oleraceus (garden pea). RNAcentral describes it as "Pisum sativum (pea) long non-coding RNA (PSAT_LNC016839)". The record is from RNAcentral. Lineage: Eukaryota; Viridiplantae; Streptophyta; Magnoliopsida; Fabales; Fabaceae.